RNAcentral lists this ribosomal RNA (452 nucleotides) under uncultured bacterium. RNAcentral describes it as "bacterial SSU rRNA". It matches the Rfam family "Bacterial small subunit ribosomal RNA", at positions 340 to 786 of the family's 1533-position model. The record is from RNAcentral.
UACGGAAGGCAGCAGUGGGGAAUAUUGCACAAUGGGCGCAAGCCUGAUGCAGCCAUGCCGCGUGUAUGAAGAAGGCCUUCGGGUUGUAAAGUACUUUCAGUCGUGAGGAAGGUGUUAAGGUUAAUAACCUUAGCAAUUGACGUUAGCGACAGAAGAAGCACCGGCUAACUCCGUGCCAGCAGCCGCGGUAAUACGGAGGGUGCGAGCGUUAAUCGGAAUUACUGGGCGUAAAGGGCACGCAGGCGGUUAAUUAAGUCGGAUGUGAAAUCCCCGGGCUUAACCUGGGAAUGGCAUUCAAGACUGGUUAGCUAGAGUCUUGUAGAGGGGGUAGAAUUCCAUGUGUAGCGGUGAAAUGCGUAGAGAUGUGGAGGAAUACCGGUGGCGAAGGCGGCCCCUGGCAAAGACUGACGCUCAUGUGCGAAAGCGUGGGGAGCGAAACAGGAUUAGAUACC